This is a long non-coding RNA of Mauremys mutica (yellowpond turtle), 1003 nucleotides long. RefSeq lists it as uncharacterized. Lineage: Eukaryota; Metazoa; Chordata; Testudines; Geoemydidae. The transcript has 5 exons. The record is from RefSeq and is a predicted model, not a curated record.
CCUCGAGCUGGCGAGUUCCUUCCCCUCCUCCUGUGUUUUUCUCCCUCCCUCUCUCUCUUUCUCUCUCUUUUUUCUGAACUGUGUUGGCCAACACGCACUCUUUCUCUCUGUCUGUGUCCUUGCCUCUCCCUGUGUUUUCUCCUUUUAUAGGACACGGGUAGGUGUGGAUCCCCACAGGCUACGUCUUGGGAGCCAGGAAGAAGUAGGAGGGGAUGAAAAUCAUGUGGGGUAGUGGGUGCGAGAGUGGAGGCAGGUAUUGUAAAAUAUCUAGCACGGUAGCAUGUUGGACAGUGAUGGCUCUUCCAUAGGUGGUUUGCUGUUCUUGCAGAGGCCCGCUCAAGGCCAAUGGAGCCACCCCAGACAGAGGAGAAGCAUCUGGAGGAGCCAGACCUGCACAAUCUAGAUGUUUUUCACUUGGCAGUGGAGCUAAGGAGUGCUCUCGUGAUAUUCGAGGAGCAGUACCAAGGGAAAAGAAGUGGAGGGUCAAAGUCUGCUCCUCUCAUGCGAUGGAAAGAAAGUAAGAGCGGGGAGACAGCGAACAUUACUGAUGCCAGGCAAGAGCCGUCCAGCUUGGAGCCGAGCAGCCGUCAUCGUCAGUGAGAGAAGUGUCUUGUUAGCUGCGCUGGUACAGGAAUUGUCCAGGAACCCUACCCGGAGGAGAGACUCUCAGAAGUGAACCUGAUCAGCCUGAACAUCCUUCUAAGCAGACAUGAACAGUCCUCAGCUUUCUGCCUCCUGCAUAAAUGGCUGAAAAGAAGUCAUGUGCCAGUCUACUGCCCUCAUGCGAUGGAAAGCGAGCGAGAGCGAUGAGACCGUGAGCAUGGUUGAUGCCACGCAAAAGCCGUCCAUCUGGCAGCAGAAGAGCCAUCACUUUUGCAGAGGAAUCAUCCAGGAGCCCUCGCCGGACGAGAAGAUGCAGAAGUGGACCUCAGCAGCCUGGACAUCCUUUUAAGGAGACAUGAAUAUUCCUCAUCUUUCUGCCUUUUGCAUAACUGCCUGUGAG